This 200-nucleotide ribosomal RNA is filed under the name uncultured bacterium. RNAcentral's name for it is "partial 16S ribosomal RNA". It matches the Rfam family "Bacterial small subunit ribosomal RNA", at positions 8 to 238 of the family's 1533-position model. The record is from RNAcentral.
AGAGUUUGAUCAUGGCUCAGAGCGAACGCUGGCGGCAGGCCUAAUACAUGCAAGUCGAACGGCUCUUCGGAGCAGUGGCGGACGGGUGAGUAACGCGUGGGAACGUGCCCAAAGGUACGGAAUAACUCAGGGAAACUUGAGCUAAUACCGUAUGUGCCCCUAGGGGGAAAGAUUUAUCGCCUUUGGAGCGGCCCGCGUUG